UUCCAACUGACGAGUCCAAAAUAGGACGAAAUGCGCAUCCUGGAU
Molecule: non-coding RNA, 45 nt
Filed under: Trichobilharzia regenti
Lineage: Eukaryota; Metazoa; Platyhelminthes; Trematoda; Strigeidida; Schistosomatidae
Source: RNAcentral